RNAcentral lists this ribosomal RNA (253 nucleotides) under uncultured bacterium. RNAcentral's name for it is "partial 16S ribosomal RNA". It matches the Rfam family "Bacterial small subunit ribosomal RNA", at positions 524 to 776 of the family's 1533-position model. The record is from RNAcentral.
UACGUAGUGGGCAAGCGUUGUCCGGAUUUAUUGGGCGUAAAGAGCGUGUAGGCGGCUAGAUAGGUCCGUUGUGAAAACUCGAGGCUCAACCUCGAGACGUCGAUGGAAACCAUCUGGCUAGAGUCCGGAAGAGGAGAGUGGAAUUCCUGGUGUAGCGGUGAAAUGCGCAGAUAUCAGGAAGAACACCCGUGGCGAAGGCGGCUCUCUGGUACGUGACUGACGCUGAGACGCGAAAGCGUGGGGAGCAAACAGG